ACGAACGCUGGCGGCGUGCUUAACACAUGCAAGUCGAACGGUGAAGCGCCUUCCUUUUUGGUGGGUGUGGAUGAGUGGCGAACGGGUGAGUAACACGUGAGUAACCUGCCCCCUUCUUCUGGAUAACCGCAUGAAAGUGUGGCUAAUACGGGAUAUUCUGGGUCUGUCGCAUGAUGGGUCUGGGAAAGAUAUUGUUUCGGUGGGGGAUGGGCUCGCGGCCUAUCAGCUUGUUGGUGGGGUGAUGGCCUACCAAGGCGGUGACGGGUAGCCGGCCUGAGAGGGUGGACGGUCACACUGGGACUGAGACACGGCACAGACUCAUACGGGAGGCAGCGGUGGGGAAUAUUGCACAAUGGGCGCAAGCCUGAUGCAGCGACGCCGCGUGAGGGAUGGAGGCCUUCGGGUUGUGAACCUCUUUCGCCAGUGAAGCAGGCCUGCCUGGUUUGUGGGUGGGUUGACGGUAGCUGGAUAAGAAGCGCCGGCUAACUACGUG
Molecule: ribosomal RNA, 493 nt
Filed under: uncultured bacterium
Lineage: Bacteria
Description: partial 16S ribosomal RNA
Rfam family: Bacterial small subunit ribosomal RNA
Source: RNAcentral